RNAcentral lists this ribosomal RNA (253 nucleotides) under uncultured bacterium. RNAcentral's name for it is "partial 16S ribosomal RNA". It matches the Rfam family "Bacterial small subunit ribosomal RNA", at positions 524 to 776 of the family's 1533-position model. The record is from RNAcentral.
UACGUAGGUGGCAAGCGUUGUCCGGAAUUAUUGGGCGUAAAGAGCUCGUAGGCGGUUCGUCGCGUCGGCUGUGAAAACCCGGAGCUCAACUCCGGGCCUGCAGUCGAUACGGGCGGACUUGAGUGUUGCAGGGGAGACUGGAAUUCCUGGUGUAGCGGUGGAAUGCGCAGAUAUCAGGAGGAACACCGAUGGCGAAGGCAGGUCUCUGGGCCAUUACUGACACUGAGAAGCGAAAGCAUGGGGAGCGAACAGG